Long non-coding RNA from Sycon ciliatum, 1227 nucleotides. RefSeq lists it as uncharacterized. The record is from RefSeq and is a predicted model, not a curated record. The transcript is spliced from 2 exons. NCBI's taxonomy places the organism in Eukaryota, Metazoa, Porifera, Calcarea, Leucosolenida, Sycettidae.
AUUUCCCUCACACUCUGUGUUUGCACCUCUCUCCCACCCUUGCUCCUCCAUUCCUUACCUGCAGUGCACCUGGAGCCAAGCCCCUCGUGAUCACUUCACGAUGGUUGGCACUGAUGGCCUUCACGCUUGCUGUCCGGGAGGAGUCGAUAUGGACAAGUUUGCAAACUGGUGAAGAUGGACUGCUCAAAGGUGCCGGCGGGCAGUCCGUCAAUGCGCUGACGAACUCCGCGCUCUACAAAAAUAACAACCUCUCUGGCGCAGGCUGUGAUUACAUCUCUGAGUUCACAGGUCCAACACUGCAUCCUGUUGUCAGGAGAGGUUCCUGUGACACCAAGCGACCCGCCUUGUGCAUCGUACAACCCUAAAUGAUCCAGUAACAUGACUGGCGGUAUGAGGUUUUGAUUGGUCUGGGCCUAUCCUCGCCUUUCAUACAGUUUGUGUAAGGUAUGGAGGGUAUACAUAUGACCUCCUCAGCAGUAAUCACAUGUUGGAAGGCAAAACGUUGGUCCGGUCAUGGCCUGACCAAGUGGACCGUUUCCACUGAGCCUGCAUAACAGCUACCUGUCCCAAAGUUGAGUAAUCUCUAAAGAUGUGAUGUCUGUACGAAUGAUGCAUGCAUGGACAUGCUGAUUGGCCGUUGCCCGGACAAUGAUCUUGUGACAUGCAUGACGUCUCUUUGUCUGCUACUCGACUGUGCUGUAUAAUGUACAUAACACGUUACGUGUAGCUUGGGGGCCUUUGAAGUGGUUCCUGUCUCAGCGCCCUUGACUCUAUGUACAAUGUGCCCUCUGCCAUCAGGCCCGUUUGAGUAAUAAUUAUAACAAUGUUGUGUGAACAAAAUCGGCAAAUUUAUCUUGUUCCCAGGCAAACGGUGAACCAGUUGGCCUACUCUCUGCAUUGCGCUUGCUAAAUUUACUACAGAAUAUCCAUCCCUGCCUGUAUUUAUACCCAACAUGCUCAUACCCGUACACAUACACGUACAUGCAUUCAUGGAUAGUUUCCCCAGCAUGCAGGGGAUUCCCCAGCAUGCAGGGGAUGCAGUAAUGCACCAUGGCUACCUACUAGUUAGUGCCUCUGUCUACUCUGUAUGACAUUACACUGCUAGACCACUGUGUAUUACAAUAUCUUCCAACUUGCAUUUGUUACAAAGUAAUUCUUUGUCAACAUCUUUCAUAUUCUUUUCAAGUCAUUUGAUGUCGAAUACAGAGGACUGCCUUGGCUAAGAGA